Molecule: ribosomal RNA, 369 nt
Filed under: uncultured bacterium
Lineage: Bacteria
Description: partial 16S ribosomal RNA
Rfam family: Bacterial small subunit ribosomal RNA
Source: RNAcentral
CCUACGGGAGGCAGCAGUAGGGAAUAUUGCUCAAUGGGGGAAACCCUGAUGCAGCAACGCCGCGUGGAUGAUGACGGUCUUCGGAUUGUAAACCUCUUUCGUCAGAGACGAUAAUGACGGUACCUAAGGAAUAAGCACCGGCUAACUCCGUGUCAGCAGCCGCGGUAAUACGGAGGUGGCGAGCGUUGUCCGGAUUUACUGGGCGUAAAGGGCGCGUAGGCGGGCUUUUAAGUGAGAUGUGAAAUACUCGGGCUUAACUUGAGUGCUGCAUUUGAAACUGGAAGUCUAGAGUGCAGGAGAGGAGAGUGGAAUUCUUGGUGUAGCGGUGAAAUGCGUAGAGAUCAAGAAGAAUACUCGUGGCGAAGGCGA